AUGGCUGGUCAAAGAAACGAUUACGGUAAAAGAUCCCAUUUUCAAUCUGAUUACGUUGGGAAUGGAGGAGGAGGGGGUAAAAGAAGGAAUGCCGGGGAGGAAAGUGAACAGCGUGGGAUUGGCUCCGAAGACACGGUUUACCGAUAUCUGUGUCAUGUGAAGAGGAUUGGGAGUAUUAUAGGGAGAGGUGGUGAGAUUGUGAAGCAGUUGAGGUCAGAUAGUAAGUCGAACAUUAGGAUUACUGAGGCGAUGCCGGGUUGCGAGGAGAGGAUUGUUAUGAUUUACAGUUCGAGUGAGGAAACGAAUCCGUUUGGUGACGGGGAUGAGCUUGUUUCGCCUGCUCAGGAUGCUUUGUUUAGGGUACACGAUAGGGUUGUUGCAGAUGAGUUGCCUGGUGAUGAGGAUUUGGAAGAGCAGACUCAAGUGGUUACUGUGAGGAUGCUUGUGGCGUCUGAUCAGAUUGGUUGUGUAAUUGGGAAAGGUGGUCAAGUGAUUCAGAAUAUAAGGAGCGAAACACAUGCUCAGAUUCGGGUUUUAAGUAAUGAGCAUUUACCUGCAUGUGCUUUGAGCUCUGAUGAGCUUCUUCAGAUUAUUGGAGAGCCCUCAGUUGUGAGGAGGGCUCUUUAUCAUGUGGCAUCUCGUCUUCAUGACAAUCCUUCAAGAUCCCAGCAUCUGCUUCUCUCCUCUCUAUCUAACGUGAAUCAACCUGGUGGGAUGUACAUGAAUGCCCCCCUUAUUGGUUCUUACGGCAACUACUCUUCUAGAAGAGAUGAUGCUUCUGCAAGGGAAUUUUCUCUUCGUUUGGUAUGCCCGGUCGGAAAUAUUGGAGGUGUGAUUGGAAAAGGUGGUGGUAUUAUCAAACAGAUUAGGCAGGAGUCUGGGGCAUCCAUUAAAGUUGAUAGCUCUGCAGCUGAAGGAGAUGAUUGCAUUAUAUUCAUAUCUACAAAAGAGUUUUUUGAAGACCCAUCUCCUACCAUCAAUGCUGCUUUGCGCUUGCAAUCACGAUGCAGUGAAAAAACCGAAAGAGAAUCAGGGGAUUCUGUAAUAACCACCCGUCUACUUGUGCCGAGCUCACAGGUUGGGUGCCUUAUUGGUAAAGGUGGGGCAAUAAUAUCUGAGAUGAGGAGUGCUACUAGGGCAAGUAUUCGCAUACUUUCAAAGGAAAACCUUCCCAAAGUUGCAUUUGAAGAUGAAGAGAUGGUGCAGAUAACUGGAGGUCUUGAUGUCGCUAGCAAUGCCCUUUCGCAAAUAAUAUCGCGGUUGAGAGCUAAUAUAUUUGAAAGAGAGGGAGCACCAGCCACAUUUUUGCCUGUUCUUCCCUACAUUCCCGUGUCAUUAGAUAUGUCAGAUGGUUCAAAAUACGGGAACAAAGAUGGUCAACCACGUAAUCGUGGAUACUCUUCUUACUCAGGGGGAUACAGCUCUGGUGAUUUGUCUGCAAGCGACAGUUAUGGAAUAUAUAGCGGUUCACUUAGUGGAGGUGACAUCUAUGGAUCUCAUGGUGGUCGUAACUCUGGCCGGGGGUUGUCCAAUCAAAACCCAGUUUCACAUAGGAAGCAUGGGUAUUAGUCCCAGACUCUGCAGGUAAGUUUUGGAGGCUGUGUUGUGAAGAGAAAGCUAGAGAGGGAGAUAAGGUUAACCUGAAAUGGAAUCAAUUGAAGGGGUGGUUUUUAUCGUUGAGUUCCUCUGGCAUUGGUAGCAGGUAAGCUAUAUGUAGUAACUGGUAAGUGACUUUUGUAGUCAAUUGGAAUCUGGUUGUAUUUGUGGUAUACACUGAACAGAAUUGGAGCAAUAUAACAGAAAUAGAAAGAUGAAAUGUGAAAUCAUUUUUUUAAUUUGAAGUGAAAAAAAUGAUGGUCAUUUUUAACCUAAAAAAGUAAAAACAAAUGAUUGAAAAGGUAAUUCAUUAAUAUUUUUCUAAUUUUCUUUUAAAACCGAUGAGAAAUAGGUUGAUAUGUCCCAUAAUUGUAGCAUAAACAGCUUUAGUUUCUAAGACAACAGUCAGGUAGUGAUUUAGGGAAAUGGUUGCCACAACUAGGGAGUUUCCAAUGAUCCUUGGCAGUGAGAAAAUUCUAAAAGAAAAUAAUGAUAACAAUACUUUCAGACCUGAUGAUUUGUCUGGUUGUUGAAUAUUACAAUUACUGUUCCAGGGCUAUAUGUUUGCUUAAUAUUCCCAUACAAGUCUCCUUCUAGCCUUGCCUUUCUUCAUCACAACAAACACAUGCUGAGGAGAUUGCUCUUUACUUAAUCGUCAGAAUAAUAGAGAAAGUGGAGAUACGUAUAUAUAUGCAAAAGAAUGCUUGAAUCGUACAAUUUGAAUAUAUUUCUUAUUAUUGUUAAUGCUUUGUUGCUGAUUUUCUCUGUAUCUAAUUAUCUUUUUUACUGCUAUCUUUCAAUUACUAAUACUCGUGUGUGGUGUCUCCCAUGCACAAACCGGUUUGUGGCUGUUAAAAAUUCACCUAGACAUUUACUCAUAUGGAUGUAUAUGCAUGGAUAUUUGAUUUACAUGGGAGUUUUGUUAACAACCAUCAGAACACUUUCUACUGUACUGAGAAAUAGAAUAAUCUUAGAACCUUCUAAAUAUUGGAGAGUCGUUAUGUCUAGCUUCCAUGUGUGGCUAGUUUUAUACACUGAACUGUUGUUUUUAUUACACUAGCAAGUAGCAAGCUUUCCUUUUAUAGUUAUUCUGAAGAUGAUACUCGAUAGAAAUCACUUGUUUAUUUUUUUGACCUUUUGUAUAUACAUAAUACAUUACUCUCUUAGGGAUAAUGCUUGCUGACAGGGUUUUCUAUCCGAGUUGAAAUAUUGUUGGCACUAGUGCAAAAUGUCUUCCUGCAUUCUCAGCUUUGGUCACAAUGUUUGACAUGUACAUCAUGGUUUGUCAAGCUGUUAAUCAAUGCAGUCAAGCAGUUCAUUUGUCUCAUUGAUCUCAUCAGUCAUCGUUCAAAGCCCUCGAACCCUUGUUAUCAGACAAUUAUAUAUAUGUCGUGAGCUGUUUGUGUACUGAGUUUCUGACAUUUAAAUGCAGUUGAUGUACCAUAGAUUGAAUCUGAUGA
RNA transcript from Theobroma cacao (cacao), 3056 nucleotides. It is a transcript of the gene named RNA-binding KH domain-containing protein RCF3-like, with no coding region annotated. NCBI's taxonomy places the organism in Eukaryota, Viridiplantae, Streptophyta, Magnoliopsida, Malvales, Malvaceae. The record is from RefSeq and is a predicted model, not a curated record.